RNAcentral lists this ribosomal RNA (279 nucleotides) under uncultured bacterium. RNAcentral's name for it is "partial 16S ribosomal RNA". It matches the Rfam family "Bacterial small subunit ribosomal RNA", at positions 506 to 784 of the family's 1533-position model. The record is from RNAcentral.
UGCCAGCCGCCGCGGUAAUACGUAGGCUCCAAGCGUUGUUCGGAAUUACUGGGCGUAAAGCGAGUGUAGGCGGUCCGUCAAGUUGGUUGUGAAAUCUCCUGGCUCAACUGGGAGGGUGCAAUCAAAACUGACGGACUAGAGUCUGGGAGAGGAGAGUGGAAUUCCUGGUGUAGCGGUGAAAUGCGUAGAUAUCAGGAGGAACACCGGUGGUGAAGACGGCUCUCUGGACCGGUACUGACGCUGAGACUCGAAAGCGUGGGGAGCAAACAGGAUUAGAUA